Molecule: transfer RNA, 76 nt
Filed under: Clostridiaceae bacterium
Lineage: Bacteria; Bacillati; Bacillota; Clostridia; Eubacteriales; Clostridiaceae
Also listed under: 3 other names
Description: tRNA-Trp
Rfam family: tRNA
About the family: Transfer RNA (tRNA) molecules are approximately 80 nucleotides in length. Their secondary structure includes four short double-helical elements and three loops (D, anti-codon, and T loops).
Source: RNAcentral
AGGGGAGUAGCUCAGCUGGUAGAGUACCGGUCUCCAAAACCGUGGGUCGCGAGUUCGAAUCUUGUCUCCCCUGCCA